AGAGUUUGAUCCUGGCUCAGAUUGAACGCUGGCGGUAGGCUUAACACAUGCAAGUCGAGCGGAAACGAAGAAUAGCUUGCUAUUCUGGCGUCGAGCGGCGGACGGGUGAGUAAUGCUUGGGAAUCUGCCUAGUCGAGGGGGACAACAGUUGGAAACGACUGCUAAUACCGCAUACGACCUACGGGUGAAAGGGGGCCUCUUCUUGAAAGCUCUCGCGACUAGAUGAGCCCAAGUGGGAUUAGCUUGUUGGUGAGGUAAGAGCUCACCAAGGCGACGAUCCCUAGCUGGUCUGAGAGGAUGAUCAGCCACACUGGAACUGAGACACGGUCCAGACUCCUACGGGAGGCAGCAGUGGGGAAUAUUGCACAAUGGGCGAAAGCCUAAUGCAGCCAUACCGCGUGUAUGAAGAAGGCCUUCGGGUUGUAAAGUACUUUCAGCGAGGAGGAAAGGUGGUAAAUUAAUACUUUAUCACUGUGACGUUACUCGCAGAAGAAGCACCGCUAACU
This 506-nucleotide ribosomal RNA is filed under the name uncultured bacterium. RNAcentral's name for it is "bacterial SSU rRNA". It matches the Rfam family "Bacterial small subunit ribosomal RNA", at positions 8 to 502 of the family's 1533-position model. The record is from RNAcentral.